GUGAGGGGAGCUGGGGCUGGAGCAGGAACAGAGCGGGGGCGGCUCCAGGGCAGCUGGGGAGGCGAGUCGAGCGAGCGAGCGAGCGAGGUCCCAGGGUGCUGCUGCAGCGCUCAGCUCUCAUGUGUGGCCCCGCCUGGCUCUCGUGACCCCUGCUCCCGUCAGCUCUGCCCUCUCCAACUGGGAAGACCGGUGGCCAGCGAAGGGGAGACUGUUCCGCUCCAGUCCCAGCUGCACGUGGUGCCUCUGCCUCGGUCCCCGUCUCAGUCCCUCAGCGAAGUCUUUGCCCUGCUCAGGAGCCCGGCUUCUGCUGCCACUAGCGGGGCCUCGUGCUCCCAGUGGGGUGAGCAGGACAGCGGGCACCUGUGUCUGGCACUUGUUCUUGACCUCCGAGUCCUGGAGACCUGAAAGCCAGGAGGCCGCAUGGGACCUUUCCACCUGGGGUCCUGCAGAGGCGCCUGGGCCAAGGUGGCAGGCAGGACCCGGGUGAGGUUGGCGGCCAGGCCUCAGACUCCGUGUGUGGGACAUGUGCUGUCCGGGAGCCAGAAGCUGACCUUCCUGAAGGCUCCUGCUUAUCUGAUUUCAUCCCUGGAGCAGCCAUGUGACACAGCCGUGAUUUCCCUCUCGUCACUGAAGGAGCUGUAGUUAUUAAGUGACCUAGCCAAGGUCAUGCGCAGGCUGGGCCCUGCGUGGUGUCCCUGGAGGUCUGAGACCACGCGUC
RNAcentral lists this long non-coding RNA (718 nucleotides) under Heterocephalus glaber (naked mole-rat). RNAcentral describes it as "lncRNA (ENSHGLG00100032891.1)". The record is from RNAcentral. Lineage: Eukaryota; Metazoa; Chordata; Mammalia; Rodentia; Bathyergidae.